GACGAACGCUGGCGGCGUGCUUAACACAUGCAAGUCGAACGGAAAGGCCCUGCUUUUGUGGGGUGCUCGAGUGGCGAACGGGUGAGUAACACGUGAGUAACCUGCCAUUGCCUUUGGGAUAACUUAAGGAAACUGGGGCUAAUACCGGAUAGGCGCUCCUGCUGCAUGGGGGGGGUUGGAAAGUUUCGGCGGUUUGGGAUGGACUCGCGGCUUAUCAGCUGGUUGGUGGGGUGGUGGCUUACCAAGGCAUUGCCGGGUGGCCGGCCUGGGAGGGUGACCGGCCACAUUGGGCCUGGGAUCCGGCCCAGCCUCCUACGGGGGGCAGCAGUGGGGAAUAUUGCACAAGGGGCGGAAGCCUGAUGCAGCAACGCCGCGUGCGGGUUGACGGCCUUCGGGUUGUAAACCGCUUUCGCCUGUGACGAAGCGUGAGUGACGGUAAUGGGUAAAGAAGCACCGGCUAACUACGUG
RNAcentral lists this ribosomal RNA (468 nucleotides) under uncultured bacterium. Its description in RNAcentral is "partial 16S ribosomal RNA". It matches the Rfam family "Bacterial small subunit ribosomal RNA", at positions 28 to 507 of the family's 1533-position model. The record is from RNAcentral.